Molecule: unclassified non-coding RNA, 230 nt
Filed under: Hevea brasiliensis (rubber tree)
Lineage: Eukaryota; Viridiplantae; Streptophyta; Magnoliopsida; Malpighiales; Euphorbiaceae
Source: RNAcentral
GCGGAAAAAUGAUGGUGGAGGAUCUCGGCGUCGAAGCCAAGGAAGCCGCCGUGCGCGAGGUUGCCAAGCUCUUGCCGUUACCGGAGCUCUUGCAGUCUAUUGCCUCCAUCAAGGCCGAGGCAAAUGAUGCGCAACUCAGUACAAUGGUUGCAGAGCAGGUUGAGCAAGCACAAACUGGAUUGGAAGCACUUGCCUCAUCACAGAAGACAAUAAAUGAGCUUCGUGAGAAC